CAGAAGGCGGUGGCAAGGUUAUCGCUUGUGAGCCGGUUGAGCCGGAUGUGGCAGAUGGGAGCUGCAGAACUCGAGCCCUACUGGCCAGCGAUGUUUUUGUCAUGGCUAUAUAUAGUGCUCAAGGUAGGGGGCGGACCGAGGAGGACUUCAGGCAGCUCGGGUUCUCUGCUGGAUUCCCGAGCUUCAGAGCUAUCUAUGUUGAUCCCUACUAUACUGUCCUUGAGUUCAGUAAGUGAGGUCUCACCAUUUUUGGUGAACAAGAAG
This 264-nucleotide unclassified non-coding RNA is filed under the name Hevea brasiliensis (rubber tree). Lineage: Eukaryota; Viridiplantae; Streptophyta; Magnoliopsida; Malpighiales; Euphorbiaceae. The record is from RNAcentral.